GAGGUGAGGAACCAGCCAACGCUCACCCGCUCGCCCUUGCCCGUCAUAACAAAGUACAGGAUGAGGAUGGUGGCUGCGGCCGUGAAGAGCCCCAGGAAAGUCGAUGUCACCACUGUGCGUAUUUGGGCCGCCAUUUUGCAGGACACUCACCAAAUUGAAGGCGUAAUUCUAUUUUCUCGGCGACAGGUGACUUCGUGCGAAAAAAAAUCACAAUCACAUGACGUUUCUCUAUUCACAUGAUAUCAGUGUGGCCGUCGAGUUUUUCGAUAAAAUAUACGGUCUGACCGUUAGAAAUAUACCGGAAUGUACAAAAUAUACCGUAAUAUACUGAC
Long non-coding RNA from Drosophila pseudoobscura, 332 nucleotides. RefSeq lists it as uncharacterized. Lineage: Eukaryota; Metazoa; Arthropoda; Insecta; Diptera; Drosophilidae. The transcript has 2 exons. The record is from RefSeq and is a predicted model, not a curated record.